CGCACUCUUAGGCUGCGUGUGAGGCCUGCGAGUGCUCGGGAGCUGCCGCGGUCACAAGAGAAAGCCUAGCUGUCAAUGACAGCCCCAGAGCAUCUGGGCGCCUUGCGAUACCCGGGUGUCUGUAGGCAGCCAGGAGACACUUCCAAGCUGAUCUGGAAUCUUUCCUCGCCCAGCUCUGUCCCUCGCAGGGAUGGCAAAGGACAUUACGACCUACAUCCCUUCCCGGAUCUGAUGGCUUCAGAUUGGCAGAUUGUGUUAAAGUGGAAGAUAUGAUGGCUGUAGAUCCAGAGUCUCGUGAAGAUGAGGUCAACUGACUGGACUGUGCUUCCUGUGGUGGGUGAAGAUGAAGUAUCUCUGCUGACAUAGCCAGAGGCGUGUUCUCUAACCCACUCUGUGGCAUUCAGUAUACAAACAUCUCCAUGACAAUGUUUUUGCAGGAAUGCAGUCAGAUCUGUGUUCAGCUGAGUCUGCUGGGAUCUACUCAAUAAUACUGAUCUAAUAGAAAAGAUACAAGAAAAAUAUUGUCUUGGAACAGAAAACAAAUUCGAGAAUUGCUUUUAUUCUCAGAUUAAUUUUGACCUCCAAAGUUGGCCAGAGCUUCUGUAACGUACCUGACAGUAAUUUCAGGCAGAACUGCCGGGUAUUUAAAGGGAAGAAUACAGGCCAGAGAAAACAUCGC
RNAcentral lists this long non-coding RNA (679 nucleotides) under Homo sapiens (human). RNAcentral describes it as "HSALNT0272476". The record is from RNAcentral. Lineage: Eukaryota; Metazoa; Chordata; Mammalia; Primates; Hominidae.